This 494-nucleotide ribosomal RNA is filed under the name uncultured bacterium. Its description in RNAcentral is "partial 16S ribosomal RNA". It matches the Rfam family "Bacterial small subunit ribosomal RNA", at positions 28 to 507 of the family's 1533-position model. The record is from RNAcentral.
GACGAACGCUGGCGGCGUGCUUAACACAUGCAAGUCGAACGGUGAAGCGCCUUCCUUUUUGGUGGGUGUGGAUGAGUGGCGAACGGGUGAGUAACACGUGAGUAACCUGCCCCCUUCUUCUGGAUAACCGCAUGAAAGUGUGGCUAAUACGGGAUAUUCUGGGUCUGUCGCAUGAUGGGUCUGGGAAAGAUAUUGUUUCGGUGGGGGAUGGGCUCGCGGCCUAUCAGCUUGUUGGUGGGGUGAUGGCCUACCAAGGCGGUGACGGGUAGCCGGCCUGGGAGGGUGGACGGUCACACUGGGACUGAGACACGGCCCAGACUCCUACGGGAGGCAGCAGGGGGGAAUAUUGCACAAUGGGCGCAAGCCUGAUGCAGCGACGCCGCGUGAAGGAUGGAGGCCUUCGGGUUGUGAACCUCUUUCGCCAGUGAAGCAGGCCUGCCUCGUUUGUGGGUGGGUUGACGGUAGCUGGAUAAGAAGCGCCGGCUAACUACGUG